AUUGAACGCUGGCGGCAGGCCUAACACAUGCAAGUCGAACGGUAACAGGAAGCAGCUUGCUGCUUCGCUGACGAGUGGCGGACGGGUGAGUAAUGUCUGGGAAACUGCCUGAUGGAGGGGGAUAACUACUGGAAACGGCAGCUAAUACCGCAUAACGUCGCAAGACCAAAGAGGGGGACCUUCGGGCCUCUUGCCAUCGGAUGUGCCCAGAUGGGAUUAGCUAGUAGGUGGGGUAACGGCUCACCUAGGCGACGAUCCCUAGCUGGUCUGGGAGGAUGACCCGCCACACUGGAACUGAGACACGGUCCAGACUCCUACGGGAGGCAGCAGUGGGGAAUAUUGCACAAUGGGCGCAAGCCUGAUGCAGCCAUGCCACGUGUAUGAAGAAGGCCUUCGGGUUGUAAAGUACUUUCGGCGGGGAGGAAGGCGAUAAGGUUAAUAACCUUGUCGAUUGACGUUACCCGCAGAAGAAGCACCGGCUAACUCCGUGCCAGCCGCCGCCGUAA
This 506-nucleotide ribosomal RNA is filed under the name uncultured bacterium. RNAcentral's name for it is "partial 16S ribosomal RNA". It matches the Rfam family "Bacterial small subunit ribosomal RNA", at positions 30 to 523 of the family's 1533-position model. The record is from RNAcentral.